AGUUUGAUCCUGGCUCAGGAUGAACGCUGGCGGUGCGCCUAAUGCAUGCAAGUCGAACGACGCAUAUUGGAGGGGUAACCCAUCGAUAUGACGGAGUGGCGAACGGGUGAGGAACACGUGAGUAAUCUGCCCCACAGACCGGGAUAGCCCAGGGAAACCUGGAUUAAUACCGGAUGACCUCGUAGGACCACAUGGUCUCUCGAGGAAGUGCCUUUGUGCUGUGGGAUGAGCUCGCGGCUUAUCAGCUAGUUGGUGGGGUAACGGCCUACCAAGGCAUUGACGAGUAGCUGGUCUGAGAGGACGAUCAGCCACACUGGAACUGAGACACGGUCCAGACUCCUACGGGAGGCAGCAGCAGGGAAUCUUGCGCAAUGGACGAAAGUCUGACGCAGCGACACCGCGUGGGGGAUGAAGGCCUUCGGGUUGUAAACCCCUUUCAGGGGGGAAGAAAUUGACGGUACCUCCAAAAGAAGCACCGGCCAACUACGUGCCAGCAGCCGCGGUAAUACGUAGGGUGCGAGCGUUAUCCGGAAUCAUUGGGCGUAAAGAGCUCGUAGGCGGUUCAGCAAGUCGGCUGUGAAAGUUCGAGGCUCAACCUCGAAAUUGCAGUCGAUACUGCUGUGACUCGAGUCCGGUAGAGGAGAAUGGAAUUCUCGGUGUAGCGGUGAAAUGCGCAGAUAUCGAGAGGAACACCAGUAG
This 699-nucleotide ribosomal RNA is filed under the name uncultured bacterium. RNAcentral's name for it is "bacterial SSU rRNA". It matches the Rfam family "Bacterial small subunit ribosomal RNA", at positions 10 to 715 of the family's 1533-position model. The record is from RNAcentral.